AUUGAACGCUGGCGGCAUGCCUUACACAUGCAAGUCGAACGGCAGCAUGGAGAGCUUGCUCUCUGAUGGCGAGUGGCGAACGGGUGAGUAAUGCAUCGAAACGUACUGUGUAAUGGGGGAUAACGUAGCGAAAGUUACGCUAAUACCGCAUACGACCUGAGGGUGAAAGCAGGGGAUCGCAAGACCUUGCGUUAUACGAGCGGCCGAUGUCAGAUUAGCUAGUUGGUGAGGUAAAGGCUCACCAAGGCGACGAUCUGUAGCGGGUCUGAGAGGAUGAUCCGCCACACUGGGACUGAGACACGGCCCAGACUCCUACGGGAGGCAGCAGUGGGGAAUUUUGGACAAUGGGGGCAACCCUGAUCCAGCCAUGCCGCGUGAGUGAAGAAGGCCUCCGGGUUGUAAAGCUCUUUCGGCCGGGAAGAAAUCGCACAGGCUAAUACUCUGUGUGGAUGACGGUACCGGCAUAAGAAGCACCGGCUAACUACGUGCCAGCCGCCGCCGUAA
This 504-nucleotide ribosomal RNA is filed under the name uncultured bacterium. RNAcentral's name for it is "partial 16S ribosomal RNA". It matches the Rfam family "Bacterial small subunit ribosomal RNA", at positions 30 to 523 of the family's 1533-position model. The record is from RNAcentral.